ACACUCCUGCGGGAGGCAGCAGUGGGGAAUAUUGGACAAUGGGCGCAAGCCUGAUCCAGCCAUGCCGCGUGAGUGAUGAAGGCCCUAGGGUUGUAAAGCUCUUUCACCGGUGAAGAUAAUGACGGUAACCGGAGAAGAAGCCCCGGCUAACUUCGUGCCAGCAGCCGCGGUAAUACGAAGGGGGCUAGCGUUGUUCGGAUUUACUGGGCGUAAAGCGCACGUAGGCGGACUAUUAAGUCAGGGGUGAAAUCCCGGGGCUCAACCCCGGAACUGCCUUUGAUACUGUUAGUCUUGAGUUCGGGAGAGGUGAGUGGAAUUCCGAGUGUAGAGGUGAAAUUCGUAGAUAUUCGGAGGAACACCAGUGGCGAAGGCGGCUCACUGGCUCGAUACUGACGCUGAGGUGCGAAAGCGUGGGGAGCAAACAGGAUUAGAUACCCCGGUAGUCCCAUG
Molecule: ribosomal RNA, 450 nt
Filed under: uncultured organism
Description: partial 16S ribosomal RNA
Rfam family: Bacterial small subunit ribosomal RNA
Source: RNAcentral